CCCAUUAUAUGUGCCUCAACAUUUGAGAACGUGUUCAGAUAUCAUGGUGUACAUGGGAGCAUACUGGUCAUUUGCCCUGCUUGUCGAACACUGUGUGGCUUUUCUUUUAUCUCUUCCUUUCUUUCUUCAUAUCUUCUUUGUUUUUUUUUCCUUUCCAACCUUACUUGAGCCAAGGGUCUUUCGAAAAGAACCUCACUACCUUCACAAGGUAGGGGUAAGGUCUAGUACACACCACCCUCCCCAAACCCACUUUGUGGAUUACCCUUCGUAUGUUGUUGCUUUUUCAACCUUUAAUUUGAAGUUCGAAUCACAACGCAGAUAUCAUGGUGUACAUGGGAGCAUAUUGGUCAUUUACCCUGCUUGUCGAACACUGUGUGGCUUUUCUUUUAUCUCUGCCUUUCUUUCUUCAUAUCUUCUUUGUUUUUUUUGCCUUUCCAACCUUACUUGAGCCAAGGGUCUUUCGAAAAGAACCUCACUACCUUCACAAGGUAGGGGUAAGGUCUACGUACACACCACCCUCCCCAAACCCACUUUGUGGAUUACCCUUCGUAUGUUGUUGCUUUUUCAAC
RNAcentral lists this long non-coding RNA (569 nucleotides) under Solanum tuberosum (potato). Its description in RNAcentral is "long non-coding RNA (STUB_LNC010443)". The record is from RNAcentral. Lineage: Eukaryota; Viridiplantae; Streptophyta; Magnoliopsida; Solanales; Solanaceae.